This 900-nucleotide ribosomal RNA is filed under the name uncultured bacterium. RNAcentral describes it as "bacterial SSU rRNA". It matches the Rfam family "Bacterial small subunit ribosomal RNA", at positions 8 to 916 of the family's 1533-position model. The record is from RNAcentral.
AGAGUUUGAUCAUGGCUCAGGACGAACGCUGGCGGCGUGCUUAACACAUGCAAGUCGAGCGAGGCCCCUUCUUCGGGAGGGUGCCCUAGCGGCGAACGGGUGAGUAACACGUGGGCAACCUGCCCUCAGCUCUGGGAUAACUCCAAGAAAUUGGUGCUAAUACCGGAUGUGACCGCUGACCGCAUGGUCUGGUGGUGGAAAGAUUCAUCGGCUGGGGAUGGGCCCGCGGCCUAUCAGCUUGUUGGUGGGGUCACGGCCCACCAAGGCGACGACGGGUAGCCGGCCUGAGAGGGUGACCGGCCACACUGGGACUGAGACACGGCCCAGACUCCUACGGGAGGCAGCAGUGGGGAAUAUUGCGCAAUGGGCGAAAGCCUGACGCAGCGACGCCGCGUGAGGGAUGACGGCCUUCGGGUUGUAAACCUCUUUCAGUAGGGACGAAGCGCAAGUGACGGUACCUACAGAAGAAGCACCGGCCAACUACGUGCCAGCAGCCGCGGUAAUACGUAGGGUGCAAGCGUUGUCCGGAAUUAUUGGGCGUAAAGAGCUCGUAGGCGGUCUGUCGCGUCGGCUGUGAAAACCCGAGGCUCAACCUCGGGCCUGCAGUCGAUACGGGCAAACUGGAGUACUGCAGGGGAGACUGGAAUUCCUGGUGUAGCGGUGAAAUGCGCAGAUAUCAGAGGAACACCGGUGGCGAAAGGCGGGUCUCUGGGCAGUAACUGACGCUGAGGAGCGAAAGCGUGGGGAGCGACAGGAUUAGAUACCCUGGUAGUCCACGCCGUAAACGUUGGGCGCUAGAUGUGGGGGGGCCCAUUCCACCGUCUCCGUGCCGCAGCUAACGCAUUAAGCGCCCCGCCUGGGGAGUACGGCCGCAAGGCUAAAACUCAAAGGAAUUGACGG